Molecule: ribosomal RNA, 779 nt
Filed under: Coconut lethal yellowing phytoplasma
Lineage: Bacteria; Bacillati; Mycoplasmatota; Mollicutes; Acholeplasmatales; Acholeplasmataceae
Description: bacterial SSU rRNA
Rfam family: Bacterial small subunit ribosomal RNA (bases 1-615)
Source: RNAcentral
CGGGAUCCCGCACAAGCGGUGGAUCAUGUUGUUUAUUCGAAGAUACCGAAAAACCUUACCAGGUCUUGACAUUAUCCUGCGAAGCUAUAGAAAUAUAGGGGAGGUUUCAGGAUAACAGGUGGUGCAUGGUUGUCGUCAGCUCGUGUCGUGAGAUGUUAGGUUAAGUCCUAAAACGAGCGCAACCCUUGUCGUUAGUUACCAGCACGUUAUGGUGGGGACUUUAGCGAGACUGCCAAUGAAAAAAUUGGAGGAAGGUGAGGAUUACGUCAAAUCAUCAUGCCCCUUAUGAUCUGGGCUACAAACGUGAUACAAUGGCUAUUACAAAGAGCAGCUGAAACGUGAGUUGUUAGCUAAUCUCAAAAAAAUAGUCUCAGUUCGGAUUGAAGUCUGCAACUCGACUUCAUGAAGUUGGAAUCGCUAGUAAUCGCGAAUCAGCAUGUCGCGGUGAUACGUUCUCGGGGUUGUACACACCGCCCGUCAAACCAUGAAAGUUGACAAUACCCAAAACCAGUCGCUUAACUACUUCGGUAGAGGGAGCUGUCUAAGGUAGGGUCGAUGAUUGGGGUUAAGUCGUAACAAGUAUCCUACCGGAAGGUGGGAUGGAUCACCUCCUUUCUAAGGAAAUGUCGUAUCAUGAUCAUCUUCAGUUUUGAAAGACUUAGAGUAGAUACGUUUUUCUUUUGGCGUAGAGGAAGGGCCUAUAGCUCAGUUGGUAGAGCACACGCUUGAUAAGCGUGCGGUCAAUGGUUCAAGUCCAUUUAGGCCACAACAUUCUUUUU